Non-coding RNA from Paramuricea clavata, 269 nucleotides. NCBI's taxonomy places the organism in Eukaryota, Metazoa, Cnidaria, Anthozoa, Malacalcyonacea, Plexauridae. The record is from the annotation of a GenBank genome assembly.
GGGAGUACAUGCGCGUUUCUUUUAGGCAGGGCGCCAGGGCGUUUAUAUUUUAACGUGUAAUUUUUCGCCUUGGUUCUAUUGCCUCCACUUCCACGUGAUUCUUCGGUAGAAGUUAUAGUUUUACAGCUAGUUCCUUCUCCUUUUUCUUCUUUCCUCUGUUAUCUACAGAUCUUCUCUUCAUCACAAAAUCUCUUCCAGCAUUUCAUGAUGGUUCCAUCAAGUUAAUGGUGUCAGGGUUCUUCUCCAUGUAUGAAUUGACAGAUCCAUCA